The sequence is a signal recognition particle RNA, 329 nucleotides long. It matches the Rfam family "Archaeal signal recognition particle RNA".
GCGGCGGCUAGGUGGGGGGCUCGGCCUCCCCUUGUAGGGUAUAUACCCUACACCGCAAAUGGUCGAAAUGGCGGGCUGAAAGCCGAUGUGAGGCGUCUUGAAGGAUCGUAGACCCCAACGGUUCGGCUAUGAAUCCUCGUCCCGUGGGGUCGUCGGAGAUGGUAGCCUCUCUGGAGGGAGAGGUGAACCAUCAUUACCAGGCGAAACGGGUUAGGCCAGGAAUGGAGCAGCCCUAAGCCUGGACGGCGGCGUUCACGGGGGUGCGGGGCUGAGUUCGACGUUGGGUGUUCUACGAUCUGGAGAGGCGUCCAGCAUCGGCACGCCGCCGC